Molecule: long non-coding RNA, 1665 nt
Filed under: Sus scrofa (pig)
Lineage: Eukaryota; Metazoa; Chordata; Mammalia; Artiodactyla; Suidae
Description: lncRNA (ENSSSCG00040053095.1, ENSSSCG00055011750.1)
Source: RNAcentral
AGAGCGGCACACUGAACUGGGAGGACCUUGUCUCCGACGGGAGGUGGGAGUACCGUCCCUUGAGAAAUGAAAGCUCCUCUCCGCCCCUGGGGGGGUGAUUUAAAUCCUGUCAGCUAGCCAACGAGUCGCCGUAUAAAGUUGGAGACGUUACCGCCACCACCAUUAAACUACAGCCGGCUCUAACUCUGUGAAAAGAUCCACAGAGAGCUGCGCGAAGCAAAAGCUCCUGCCAAGAAACGCUCUCACAUCCAUGAAUGAUGAAAACAGUCUUGUCAGAGUUCCCAUCGUGGCUCAGCGGGUUAAGAACCCGACUAUGCUUCGUGAGGAUGCGGGUUCCACCCCGGGCCUCGAUCAGGGGGUUAAGAAUCGCGCGUUGCCGCAAGCCCCCGGGGCCGCACCCAGGCUAGGGGUCUAAUCAGAGCUGUAGCUGCCGCCUACGACAGAGCCACAAAAACUCAGGAUCCAAGCAUCGCCUGCGACCUACACCACAGCUCACGACAACACUGGAUCCCUAACCCACUGAGUGAGGCCAGGGAUCGAACCUGCAACCUCAUGGUUCCCAGUUGGACUCAUUUCCACGGUGCCAUGUCGGGAACGCCUCGUGUCUCUUUUUCAAAGGCAGCAGUUUAUAUCCCGAUGUUUCUUUUGGGUUUCCAGAACACAGAAAAUGUUGUGAACGUUCUCACUAUAUAUUCUGCUCCCUGUAUGUGCCUUUCAUCACCUGGAGGAACUUAGCCACCGUUUCUUGAUCUCCGUUGUCAAUUUCUUCCUCUCAGACAACCCCUAGGAAUAUUUCCUCUACUCCUUUCUCUCUGGAAUAAUUCCAUUCACACCAACGACUUUAGCAUUGUUAGAUAAUGUUUAAUGAGCACUUUACAGGUGCUAGGCUUUGGGAGUUCCCUGCUGGCUUAGUGGGUUACGGAUCCAGAGUCAUCACUGCUGCAGCUUGGGUCACUAACGUGGCGCAGUUUCAAUCCCUGGCCCAGGAACUUCCACAUGCCAUGGGUACAGCCAAAAAAAAAAGUGCUAGACUUUGGGCUACACACUCUAUGUGUUUGUUUUCUAUGUGACCCAUUUCUAUCACUAAAAAUAGUAACAUGUCAUUCUGUAUCAGGCACUAUUCUAAGAAAUUUACCGAUGUUAAUUUGCUUAUCAAUACUUAUUUAAGGAGAACUCUCAGAGAAGUUCCCUCCAUCAGAAUAACACUAUUACCAAUAUCCAAUUAAGGAGUACUAAAUAUUAUUCUCAAUCCUACUUUUUUUUUUUUUUUUCAUUUUGUCCAUGCCCAUAGCACAUGGAGGUUCCCAGGCCAGGGAUCAGCCCUGUGAUCUUUUUCUUUCUUUUUUCUUUUUAGGGCUGCACUUGCUGCAUAUGGAAGUUCCAGGAUAGGGGUCGAACGGAAGCUGCAACUGCCGGCUGGUGCCACAGGCACAGCAACACAGGAUCCGAGACUCAUCUGUCCUGUAGACUCAGUGCUCAGUUAUUACCUCCUCAGAGCAGCAGUGCCACUCAAGCCAUUCCCUUAUCAUGUCACCCUGCUCUAUCCAGAUGCCUGGGUUGAAAUUCAGCAAUUGGAGGUCCCAUGGUGGCUCAGCGGAAAGGAAGCUCUAAAAAAAGUAAUUCUGUAAACAACUGAAUAAACACCACUCAGACCAAGGAAAAGAA